AAACGGUCAGCACUAUGAUCGCCAAGGCUGCAAAAGUUGCCAACCCAACAGCUCGGAAGAGAAUGAUCAGCGAAAGGCAAAGCUGCAAGCUUGUCGUCCAUGUCUGGUGAAACCAAAAGGGGAACUCGCCGAUUCGGUAAGCAUCUACCGUGACAUAGUUCAUUAUCUCGCCUCCCGAGUGGGUUAAUCUACUGGCAUUCGACAGCUUCAGUUGCUUCUUGUAGAUUGCAGCUGUGAGUAAAGACCUUAUCUUUAAGCCGAUGAGUCUAGACCUGAAGUACCAUUGCCUUUGAGAUAAGGACUCCAAAGACUUGCUGAAGAAAAGGGUCAACGCUAGUAGAUAUCCUUCAUAUUGGAAACUAGCGUUUCCUU
RNAcentral lists this long non-coding RNA (372 nucleotides) under Linum usitatissimum (flax). RNAcentral's name for it is "long non-coding RNA (LUSI_LNC008261)". The record is from RNAcentral. Lineage: Eukaryota; Viridiplantae; Streptophyta; Magnoliopsida; Malpighiales; Linaceae.